This 465-nucleotide ribosomal RNA is filed under the name Vreelandella stevensii. RNAcentral's name for it is "partial 16S ribosomal RNA". It matches the Rfam family "Bacterial small subunit ribosomal RNA", at positions 338 to 795 of the family's 1533-position model. The record is from RNAcentral. Lineage: Bacteria; Pseudomonadati; Pseudomonadota; Gammaproteobacteria; Oceanospirillales; Halomonadaceae.
CCUACGGGUGGCUGCAGUGGGGAAUAUUGGACAAUGGGCGAAAGCCUGAUCCAGCCAUGCCGCGUGUGUGAAGAAGGCCUUCGGGUUGUAAAGCACUUUCAGUGGGGAAGAAAGCCUUGGGGCUAAUACCCUCGAGGAAGGACAUCACCCACAGAAGAAGCACCGGCUAACUCCGUGCCAGCAGCCGCGGUAAUACGGAGGGUGCGAGCGUUAAUCGGAAUUACUGGGCGUAAAGCGCGCGUAGGCGGUCUGAUAAGCCGGUUGUGAAAGCCCCGGGCUCAACCUGGGAACGGCAUCCGGAACUGUCAGGCUAGAGUGCAGGAGAGGAAGGUAGAAUUCCCGGUGUAGCGGUGAAAUGCGUAGAGAUCGGGAGGAAUACCAGUGGUGAAGGCGGCCUUCUGGACUGACACUGACGCUGAGGUGCGAAAGCGUGGGUAGCAAACAGGAUUAGAUACCCUUGUAGUC